UGGGGAAUAUUGCAUAAUGGGCGCAAGCCUGAUGCAGCCAUGCCGCGUGUAUGAAGAAGGCCUUCGGGUUGUAAAGUACUUUCAGCGGGGAGGAAGGUGUUGAGGCUAAUAACCUCAGCAAUUGACGUUACCCGCAGAAGAAGCACCGGCUAACUCCGUGCCAGCAGCCGCGGUAAUACGGAGGGUGCAAGCGUUAAUCGGAAUUACUGGGCGUAAAGCGCACGCAGGCGGUUUGUCAAGUCGGAUGUGAAAUCCCCGGGCUCAACCUGGGAACUGCAUUCGAAACUGGCAGGCUAGAGUCUUGUAGAGGGGGGUAGAAUUCCAGGUGUAGCGGUGAAAUGCGUAGAGAUCUGGAGGAAUACCGGUGGCGAAGGCGGCCCCCUGGACAAAGACUGACGCUCAGGUGCGAAAGCGUGGGGAGCAAACA
RNAcentral lists this ribosomal RNA (427 nucleotides) under uncultured bacterium. RNAcentral describes it as "partial 16S ribosomal RNA". It matches the Rfam family "Bacterial small subunit ribosomal RNA", at positions 355 to 774 of the family's 1533-position model. The record is from RNAcentral.